This 998-nucleotide long non-coding RNA is filed under the name Homo sapiens (human). Its description in RNAcentral is "long non-coding RNA NONHSAT193922.1". The record is from RNAcentral. Lineage: Eukaryota; Metazoa; Chordata; Mammalia; Primates; Hominidae.
GGCUGAGGUGGGAGGAUUCCUUGAGCCUCGGAGGUCAAGGCUGCAGUGAGCCCUGAUGGUGCCACUGCACUCCAGCUUGGCCGACAGAACGAGACCUUGACUCCAAAAUAGCAAUACUACUGUCUGUCAGGGCUAUGAAGCCACAUGAGACUUGACCCAUUAAGGACAAGAGUGAAGAAAAAUGUAUCAAAUAGAAAUAAUUUUAUCUAAACACUGGCAAGAGGAAAAAGACAUGGAGGAGAAACUUAGAAAUGAAAAGCAGUGAGGCAUCUAUAUGGUCAAAUCUUGUUAGAGAAUGAAGUUCUCAGGGUACACUCUUCCUGGCUAAGCAAUCCCAUCCCAGCCCCUCUCUACUGAAAUCAUUCAUCCUGGUCAAGUGUGUUUCUCAGAAUACCUGGGUAUGUCAACAGAGAUAAAAGAGAAGUGCAGCACACUUCCUAGUUUCAGCUGGCACUAAAACAAGAGAAUGAGUUGUGCGUUUUUUGGUGGAGGUGCCUCCUGAUCGAGUCUACACACUGGCUUGUGAACAUGUUGUCUGUACUGAAGAACUUAUCCCAAAAAGGUGGCUCCACUUACACCAUAGACAAGUACUGUCCUUCCCAUGUCCUUUCAGCAUGAACUGAGAGAGGGGCAGUCUCAAAGUGGCAGGUGUCACAAGAGGUCACUCUCAUAAUCAACAACUGAAGACUUCCCAAAACAGCAACUCCUUGCUUUUGCCCCAGGUUUUCCGAGGCAAAAUUUACAUACCAUCAAGGUCAUCCAUGGAAAUGUUCUAGAGUUGAAAAGAAAGCUCUUUCUACAUCUGCAAGGCUGAUUCAUUUUUCUCCCUUCCAAGAACUCUACUAAAAAAAUUAUUUGUUGCUUAUCUGAAAUGCAAAUGUAACUGGAUGUCCUGUAUUUGUGAAAUUCCGGCAACCCUAAUCCAGGACCAAAGCAGAAUUAACCAAAUAAAUGAAAGUGCAUGUCUAGAAAUAAAUGUACUUUUCUGGAGCAUUGUA